CCUACGGGGGGCAGCAGUCGAGAAUCUUUCACAAUGGGGGCAACCCUGAUGGAGCGACGCCGCGUGGAGGAUAAGGUCUUCGGAUUGUAAACUCCUUUCAUUCGAGAACAAGGUUGCAGGGCUAACACCUUUGCAAAUUGAUGGUACCGCAAGAGGAAGAGACGGCUAACUCUGUGCCAGCAGCCGCGUUAAUACAGAGGCGGCAAGCGUUGUUCGAAAUCACUGGUCGGAGGCGGUGUAAGUGUGAUGUGAAAGCCCGGGGCUCAACCUCGGAAUUGCAUCCGAUACUGCCAUGCUGGAGUACUGAAGAGGUGACUAGAAUUCUAGGUGUAGCAGUGAAAUGCGUAGAUAUCUAGAGGAAUACCAACGGCGAAGGCAGGUCACUGGGCAGUUACUGACACUGAGGCACGAAGGCCAGGGGAGCAAACGGGAUUAGAUACCCCAGUAGUC
RNAcentral lists this ribosomal RNA (450 nucleotides) under uncultured bacterium. RNAcentral describes it as "partial 16S ribosomal RNA". It matches the Rfam family "Bacterial small subunit ribosomal RNA", at positions 338 to 795 of the family's 1533-position model. The record is from RNAcentral.